AAGUCGUAACAAGGUCUCCGUAGGUGAACCUGCGGAGGGAUCAUUAACACGUUUCCAAAAAACGUUUAUCAACCAAAUCAACGUGAACCAGUAACAACUCCCUUGUCAGUGUGACGAACGAAUAAUCAUCAGGGUGGAGGACAGCUUUCGGGCUGGACUAUGACUCGUUCUAGGGGCCCUUUGAGGCUCCAAUCCGCUGGCAAGUGUCUUUGCGACCACCUGGCAGUCUACAUUCGUGUAGCGUUCUGCCGAAUUUGUUUAACCCAAUUUUUUAACCCCUUUCACAACAUACUAAUAACUGAACCAUUUUUUUCUAUAUAUCCGUCCUUUGUGAUGUGAUGUAUGAAAAAAGAUAUACGUAAUGCUGAACAACUCUUAGCAAUGGAUAUCUUGGUUCUCGUAACGAUGAAAAACGCAGC
RNAcentral lists this unclassified non-coding RNA (419 nucleotides) under fungal sp. Its description in RNAcentral is "partial internal transcribed spacer region". The stretch from base 1 to 46 matches the Rfam family "Eukaryotic small subunit ribosomal RNA", at positions 1786 to 1831 of the family's 1831-position model. The record is from RNAcentral. Lineage: Eukaryota; Fungi.